AUAAGCAGGUCUCUUAUCGCUGCUCAUCAUAGAUGAGGAGAGGAAAGUCCGGACACCAUAGAGCAGUAUAGCGGGUAACGCCCGUCGUUCGCCCAGGCGAAUAGGACAAGUGCAGCAGAAAGUAUGUACAGGUAAUGCUGUAGUGAAACCAGGUAAACUCUAUACGGUGCAACGCCAAGUAUAUUUACGUUUGAGAGCUGCUCGCUCGAUGUAAAAGGGUAGGCGGUUCGAGCUUUUGAGUAAUCAAAAGCCUAGAUAAAUGAUAAGACUCGACAGAAUCCGGCUUAUGGCCUGCUUUUUUAU
This 303-nucleotide RNase P RNA is filed under the name Flavobacteriaceae bacterium. Its description in RNAcentral is "RNase P RNA component class A". It matches the Rfam family "Bacterial RNase P class A". From Rfam's summary of the family: Ribonuclease P (RNase P) is a ubiquitous endoribonuclease, found in archaea, bacteria and eukarya as well as chloroplasts and mitochondria. Lineage: Bacteria; Pseudomonadati; Bacteroidota; Flavobacteriia; Flavobacteriales; Flavobacteriaceae. The record is from RNAcentral.